This 930-nucleotide long non-coding RNA is filed under the name Chrysemys picta bellii (western painted turtle). RNAcentral describes it as "lncRNA (ENSCPBG00000007667.1)". Lineage: Eukaryota; Metazoa; Chordata; Testudines; Emydidae. The record is from RNAcentral.
UAAAGCGAGAGAUUGAACGUUAUAGGGUCCUGGAAGGGGAAAGGCCAACCCAGCGCCUACCGCAAGCGCCUGGCUAUGACCGAUCCGUACCAAGAUGGCAACGUCUAGAGAGCCUGUUCCUACAAAUCCUGCAAUCCACAACCACCUCCUUCACUUCAGCAGAAAGUUUCUUAGCUCACGGUGCCAGUUCUUACGUCGAAAGAGUCCUGUGUCUACACUGGAGGGUGGAAAAAUUCCCCUUUUCUGAUGUGGUUUUCCCUUCUCUCUGGUAAGUAUUUUUUAAAACUGCGUUUGUCAUUAUUUGGCCUCUUAUUUUACUUCAAUUACAAAAAUCGUCCAUUUAAGUUGCUUACAGCAUAAAUUCCGCCACUUCAGUAUGCGCUAAAGCUCAUGGACAGGCUCCAGGUAGAGUCUGCUUCAUUUUAUAAUAUAGUACCUUGUUUAUUUGAACUACAUCAAAGCGUAAAAGCAACUUCUCUGAACUCGUAAUAAUCUUAUGUUCUAAUGUAGCUGAAGUUCUUACAAAGUUAAUGCUUGUUGCCCUUACAGCCUGAAAACACACACAUAAUAAUAGACCAGGGAUUUUUAAAAAGUAUUAUUAUAGUUUUUAACUAGUUUAGGGGAUUAUAUUGUUGUUUUUAUUACUUGGUACUGCCUGUCGAAAUGUGUAAUGCACAUAUAUUCUCUAACUUUAUUCUUUCCAAGUUCAUUAAGGAUUACAGUGCUAUUAUUUUAGGUUUUUGACUGGUCUGUGCAUUUCAUAAUUUUUUCUCUCAUGUUUACAUUUAAUUCUUUGAGUAGUAAGUUCUAAAAUGCCUGACCUGUCCUGGCUGGAGUAAUUAUUAUAAAUUAUUACCAUAUUGUGCUUUGUCAUUCAUUGAUUGUACCACUUUAAAUAAAUAAUAGUAUCCUUCUAGAAUGUAAAUUUAG